AUUGAACGCUGGCGGCAUGCUUUACACAUGCAAGUCGAACGAGUGGCGCACGGGUGAGUAAUAUCUCGGAACGUGCCCAAUAGUGGGGGAUAACUAAUCGAAAGAGUAGCUAAUACCGCAUACUAUUCGAUCGGCCGAUAUCUGAUUAGCUAGUUGGUGGGGUAACGGCCUACCUAGGCGACGAUCAGUAGCGGGUCUGAGAGGAUGAUCCGCCACACUGUGACUGAGACACGGCCCAGACGCCUACGGGAGGCAGCAGUGGGGAAUUUUGGACAAUGGGCGCAAGGCUGAUCCAGCCAUGCCGCGUGUCUGAAGAAGGCCUUCGGGUUGUAAAGGACUUUUGUCAGGGAAGCGGUACCUGCAGAAUAAGCACCGGCUAACUACGUGCCAGCAGCCGCGGUAAUUC
RNAcentral lists this ribosomal RNA (406 nucleotides) under uncultured bacterium. Its description in RNAcentral is "partial 16S ribosomal RNA". It matches the Rfam family "Bacterial small subunit ribosomal RNA", at positions 30 to 526 of the family's 1533-position model. The record is from RNAcentral.